Haliotis rubra (blacklip abalone) is the source of this 750-nucleotide long non-coding RNA. RefSeq lists it as uncharacterized. The record is from RefSeq and is a predicted model, not a curated record. Lineage: Eukaryota; Metazoa; Mollusca; Gastropoda; Lepetellida; Haliotidae. The transcript is spliced from 3 exons.
GGGGCUGCUGUUGCUCUUGUUAUACUGAUUGCAGUCAUCGCAGUAUGCAUCAAGCGGAGACAGAGACAGAAGGAAUACAACCGACAUAACAACGCUGCACAACCAUCAGAACUCCUGUUAACUCACUACAACCUUGAACUUCUGGCCGUGUUGGGUGAAGGUCACUUCGGGAAGGUUUGGAAGGCCAAGGCCAAUGGGAUUCUACACACAGGUCAAUGUGACAUCGUUGCUGUUAAAGUAUGUAAAGAUAAUGCAUCUGAGGAGCGGUGGACCAACUUCUACCGUGAAAUUAAACUGAUGAAGUCUUUACCGAAAUACUUACAUGUGGUGAAUUACCUUGGCAACAACCGCACACAAGGUAUGAUGGCGUUGGUCUGUUUGGUAGUACACAUAUAUAUGUUGUAUGACUGGAAUCAACAAGAAAUGUCGAUGUCAAACACAACAAAAAUGAAACACUCUCCUCCUUAAAUGAGUGAGCGAGAGAGAGGGUGAAUUGGAUUGUCUCAAUGAACCGCAGAAUAAUUUCGGGGAGCAGCAGAAAUGGAACCGAACGUUCGGGGUGAUGAAGAAGCAGCACCUUACCUACGACAGUUUUUGUAUCAAGGUUACAACAUUCAAGGCCUCUUUAUAGCCUCAGGGAUGGCGUCGUUGACGUUAUUUAUUGACGUCACUACACACAAUAAAAGUGCAGGAGGACAUGUUUACCCUUGCUUCGCGAACGCCUGGUGUCAUCACAUAUUUUCAAUGAUC